This 468-nucleotide ribosomal RNA is filed under the name uncultured bacterium. RNAcentral describes it as "partial 16S ribosomal RNA". It matches the Rfam family "Bacterial small subunit ribosomal RNA", at positions 28 to 507 of the family's 1533-position model. The record is from RNAcentral.
GACGAACGCUGGCGGCGUGCUUAACACAUGCAAGUCGAACGGAAAGGCCCUGCUUUUGUGGGGUGCUCGAGUGGCGAACGGGUGAGUAACACGUGAGUAACCUGCCCUUGACUUUGGGAUAACUUCAGGAAACUGGAUCUAAUACCGGAUAGGAGCUCCUGCUCCAUGGUGGGGGUUGGAAAGUUUCGGCGGGUGGGUUUGGACUGGCGGCUUAUGAGCUUGUUGGUGGGGUAGUGGCUUACCAAGGCUGUGAAGGAUAGCCGGCCUGAGAGGGUGACCGGCCACAUGGGGACUGAGAGACGGACCAGACUCCAACGGUAGGCAGUAGGGGGGAAUAUGGUCCAGCGGGCGGACGUCUGAUGCAGAAACGCUGCGGGUGGGAUGAGGGUCUGGGGGGUGUAAACCGCUUUCGCCUGUGACGAAGCGUGAGUGACGGUAAUGGGUAAAGAAGCACCGGCUAACUACGUG